Molecule: non-coding RNA, 72 nt
Organism: Bos taurus (domestic cattle)
Lineage: Eukaryota; Metazoa; Chordata; Mammalia; Artiodactyla; Bovidae
Source: Rfam
UCCCUUGUAGCUUAGCUGGUAAAGAAUCUGCCUGUAAUGCAGGAGACCUGGGUUCUAUCCCUGGGUAGGGAA